UUGAUGACUGGAGGCUGAAGCCCUCUUUUUCUACAGAACAGAAAUAGCAUGAGCGGCAGCAGGGCAGGUUCUCAGCUCCUGCCAGUGUAUAUUGCCCCUAAAUUGGAGCAAGCACUUCUGUGGGUGAAAGGGGAGUGCAGUCUCCAAGAUCAGUUAGCCCUUGUCUUCA
This 169-nucleotide small RNA is filed under the name Chrysemys picta bellii (western painted turtle). RNAcentral's name for it is "TUC338 (ENSCPBG00000025008.1)". The record is from RNAcentral. Lineage: Eukaryota; Metazoa; Chordata; Testudines; Emydidae.